Molecule: unclassified non-coding RNA, 240 nt
Filed under: soil metagenome
Description: partial contains 5.8S ribosomal RNA, internal transcribed spacer 2, and large subunit ribosomal RNA
Source: RNAcentral
AACCAUAGAAACCUGCGGAGUACCUGCGGAGGGAUCAUUGCAGAAACAAAUAUAUACCCAAGGGGGAAGAGUUAGCGCUCUUUUUCCUGGGCAAACAACCAACACACAUGACUAGGAAAAGCAAACAGAGAUUGUGGAGGAAUUGGCUUGGUCGGCUUGGCUUGGCUUGGGUCCUCGCACAGCACACAAGAAGCUCUUGUCUGAUAAGUAGCUUGCUGAUUUGGAGUUACUACAAUACAA